AGAACAAACACCAGAAACUCCUUGUUCUGCCCCUGCUUUUUAAUCACCCAGCAUCACCCCGGCUGCAAAACAGCCUCUGCUGAUUUACCUGCUUGUUAAAGCACCCCACAGGCUGCAAGUGCGGUGUGCUAGGUGUCAAGUUCUAUUUAACGGUGCACAGGGAACCAUUCAUCUUCCCACGGUCGAAGCACAGAACAGCCUCUUGCUAACAGAACUCAUCCCUGCUGCUGCAAGAAGCCUCAUGGCCUGCAGGAAAACCUCAAGCUAAGAGUUCCAAAGCAAAAGCGGAAAACGCAUGAUUUGUACUCUUUAUAUUUGAGUGAAUUCUAGCUGCUAAACGCUGCCUACAUCUGAGGGCACGUUCUGAGGCUGGGGGGAAGGACACUCAACACCCACUGAGAGCAGGAGUGCAAAGAUGCCAGCCAAGAAGGCAAAGGUUAGAGCUGAACGCUGCCUCAGCUUCCUCCAGCAGCCAGCUGGGGGUCACCUUUCACCACGCUCUCUGGGACUCUGAGCCCCGAGUUACCGCAGCCGCCAGCUACAGCUGCUCCUUGCUGGCCCAAACUAUUUGAAGAGUCUUCAAAAUUCAGGGACCUGUUUUAUGACAGCCUCAAGAUCAAAUCAAUCUGUUCUGAAGGUGCUGAUCGUCCUGGUGUUUCUGCAGCUGUCAAAGAACAAUCCUGAACCGAGGCACUCGUCUGAUCAGACAGUGCUUCGGCACAGAUUUCUCUUUAGCUUGACACAUCAAGAUGAAGAGGAAUCGAUUCUUUCAAGCACCCUCUUAAGCAGGGAUCUAAUAAGCACUGUACAGUCCCACGUUACGGAUGGAACCAGCUGCAUCAACUUCCAGUACGACGGUGUUGGAAAAAGGUGCCUUUGGUGGUCAGGAGCACAACAGCUCUGGUGAUGUGUUAUUUAAGUGUGUUCUUACAUCUGAGUUUCCUCAUAGCAGCAUGUAGCUGAGGGGGUCCAAGUUUCCCAGGUAAGAUUUAUGUUUUUCCUCCUACCAAGCACCAGCUCAGUAUACAAAGCUCUGUUAAUAACACCCAAGCAUGUAGAUGUUAAACUGAAACUGCUUUUAAACCUAUUUGUUGUUACGAAAAUAGCUUAAUACACCAUCUUCACAGGGUAAAAAUUCACGUGGAAGUACAGAAAAACCCAGAAGCGCUUCCUGAGCUUCAGUUUACCAA
Molecule: long non-coding RNA, 1190 nt
Filed under: Anas platyrhynchos platyrhynchos (common mallard)
Lineage: Eukaryota; Metazoa; Chordata; Aves; Anseriformes; Anatidae
Description: lncRNA (ENSAPLG00000024674.1)
Source: RNAcentral